Molecule: ribosomal RNA, 255 nt
Filed under: uncultured Pseudomonas sp.
Lineage: Bacteria; Pseudomonadati; Pseudomonadota; Gammaproteobacteria; Pseudomonadales; Pseudomonadaceae
Description: partial 16S ribosomal RNA
Rfam family: Bacterial small subunit ribosomal RNA
Source: RNAcentral
CGGCGGACGGGUGAGUAAUGCCUAGGAAUCUGCCUGGUAUGGGGGACAACGUUUCGAAAGGAACGCUAAUACCGCAUACGUCCUACGGGAGAAAGCAGGGACCUUCGGGCCUUGCGCUAUCAGAUGAGCCUAGGUCGGAUUAGCUAGUUGGUGAGGUAAUGGCUCACCAAGGCGACGAUCCGUAACUGGUCUGAGAGGAUGAUCAGUCACACUGGAACUGAGACACGGUCCAGACUCCUACGGGAGGCAGCAGCA